This 92-nucleotide ribosomal RNA is filed under the name Staphylococcus aureus. Its description in RNAcentral is "partial 23S ribosomal RNA". It matches the Rfam family "Bacterial large subunit ribosomal RNA", at positions 2835 to 2925 of the family's 2925-position model. The record is from RNAcentral. Lineage: Bacteria; Bacillati; Bacillota; Bacilli; Caryophanales; Staphylococcaceae.
CCCUCAAGAUGAUGAGGUUAAUAGGUUCGAGGUGGAAGCAUGGUGACAUGUGGAGCUGACGAAUACUAAUCGAUCGAAGACUUAAUCAAAUU